This 468-nucleotide ribosomal RNA is filed under the name uncultured bacterium. RNAcentral's name for it is "partial 16S ribosomal RNA". It matches the Rfam family "Bacterial small subunit ribosomal RNA", at positions 28 to 507 of the family's 1533-position model. The record is from RNAcentral.
GACGAACGCUGGCGGCGUGCUUAACACAUGCAAGUCGAACGGAAAGGCCCUGCUUUUGUGGGGUGCUCGAGUGGCGAACGGGUGAGUAACACGUGAGUAACCUGCCCUUGACUUUGGGAUAACUUCAGGAAACUGGGGCUAAUACCGGAUAGGAGCUCCUGCUGCAUGGUGGGGGUUGGAAAGUUUCGGCGGUUGGGGAUGGACUGGCGGCUUAUCAGCUUGUUGGUGGGGUAGUGGCUUACCAAGGCUUUGACGGGUAGCCGGCCUGAGAGGGUGACCGGCCACAUUGGGACUGAGGUACGGCCCAGACUCCUACGGGGGGCAGCAGUGGGGAAUAUUGCACAAUGGGCGGAAGCCUGAUGCAGCAGCGCCGCGUGCGGGAUGACGGCCUUCGGGCUGUAAACCGCUUUCGCCUGUGACGAAGCGUGAGUGACGGUAAUGGGUAAAGAAGCACCGGCUAACUACGUG